CCUGUCUCAGCUCCACUUGAUCACGCAGGCCCAGUGCAUACUUGGCAUAUUUUAGAGACAGGAACACUCUCCUAAUGUUGUAAUGCACAACAUACCCAAAAUGGCCUCUCUGUUUCUAGGAGUGUGACAGUU
RNAcentral lists this small nucleolar RNA (132 nucleotides) under Carlito syrichta (Philippine tarsier). RNAcentral's name for it is "Small nucleolar RNA SNORA64/SNORA10 family (ENSTSYG00000034990.1)". It matches the Rfam family "Small nucleolar RNA SNORA64/SNORA10 family". From Rfam's summary of the family: This family belongs to the H/ACA class of small nucleolar RNAs (snoRNAs) which act as guides in the the modification of uridines to pseudouridines. This family includes the human snoRNAs U64 and ACA10 and mouse MBI-29. The record is from Rfam by way of RNAcentral. Lineage: Eukaryota; Metazoa; Chordata; Mammalia; Primates; Tarsiidae.